Molecule: long non-coding RNA, 428 nt
Organism: Dromaius novaehollandiae (emu)
Lineage: Eukaryota; Metazoa; Chordata; Aves; Casuariiformes; Dromaiidae
Exons: 3
Source: RefSeq, a predicted model, not a curated record
GCUGCGCAGCACGGCCCCCUGCCAGGCGGCGCCUCGCCCUCGGUGUGCCGCAGCCGCCGGGCGGGCCACGGCGGGGGCAGCCUCACACCCCCCGCGGUGGGCGGUGGCGCCCCCCCAGCCCUAGCGCUCCGCCCCUUCGCCUGAGGCGCGCGCGCUCAUUGGGUCCGCCGGCUGCCGCUCAAGGUCAUUGCAAGUUUCACCAGCUAACCUAAACUGCUGCAUGAAGUUCUCAAUCUCUCACAUGGACACAAGGUACUUUCAACAAAAGCAGAAAUCCCAUUCACGCAGACAAAGUGUGAUUCCUGACACAGAUGAAGUCAGAGUUUUACCCCGUCAUGUAUAUAGAAUACCUGUGGCUCCACAAUUAUUUUACAGUAGUGUUGUAAAUGUAGCUUAAAGCAAUAUAAAAUAAACUGCUCUUAACAUUC